Molecule: ribosomal RNA, 1244 nt
Filed under: metagenome
Description: bacterial LSU rRNA
Rfam family: Bacterial large subunit ribosomal RNA
Source: RNAcentral
UGAAUACGAGACGCUAAGGCGUCGAAGUAGUGUAUGUCAUACUUCCAAGAAAAGCUUGCACUGUCAUAGAUAAAAAACGCCUGUACCAUAACCGACACAGGUGGGUAGGUAGAGUAUACUAAGGGGCGCGAGAUAACUCUCUCUAAGGAACUCGGCAAAAUAACUCCGUAACUUCGGGAGAAGGAGUGCCUUAUUCGUAAGGUUGCAAUAACAAGAUCCAAGCAACUGUUUAUCAAAAACACAGGUCUCCGCUAAGUCGUAAGACGAUGUAUGGGGGCUGACGCCUGCCCAGUGCCAGAAGGUUAAAGAAGUUGGUUAGCAAUUGCGAAGCUGAUAACUGAAGCCCUGGUGAACGGCGGCCGUAACGAUAACGGUCCUAAGGUAGCGAAAUUCCUUGUCGGGUAAGUUCCGACCCGCACGAAAGGCGUAAUGAUUUGGAUACUGUCUCGGAGAGGGGCUCGGUGAAAUAGACUUGUCUGUGAAGAUGCGGACUACCUGCACCAGGACAGAAAGACCCUAUGAAGCUUUACUGUAACUUGAAAUUGAAAUUGGACUUUAUUCGCGCAGUAUAGGUGGGAGGCGUUGAUUAUAAUCUUGUGGGAUUAUUGGAGCCAUCAGUGAGAUACCACUCUUGUAAUGUUAGAUUUCUAACUUUGAAUCAUUAUCUGGUCAAAGAACAGUUUCAGGCGGGCAGUUUGACUGGGGCGGUCGCCUCCUAAACGGUAACGGAGGCGUACAAAGGUUUCCUCUGAACGGUUAGAAAUCGUAUCUAGAGUGUAAAGGCAUAAGGAAGCUUGACUGUGAGACCUACAAGUCGAGCAGGGACGAAAGUCGGUCUUAGUGAUCUGACGGUACUGAGUGGAAAGGCCGUCACUCAACGGAUAAAAGUUACUCUAGGAUAACAGGCUGAUCUCCCCCAAGAGUUCACAUCGACGGGGAGGUUUGGCACCUCGAUGUCGGCUCAUCGCAUCCUGGGGCGGUAGUACGUCCCAAGGGUUGGGCUGUUCGCCCAUGAAAGCGGUACGCGAGCUGGGUUCAGAACGUCGUGAGACAGUUCGGUCCAUAUCCGGUGUAGGCGUUAGAAUAUUGAGAGGAGCCUUCUUUAGUACGAGAGGACCGAGAAGGACAUACCUCUGGUGUACCAGUUAUCGUGCCAACGGUAAACGCUGGGUAGCUAUGUAUGGAGUGGAUAACCGCUGAAAGCAUCUAAGUGGGAAGCCCACCUCAAGAUAAGUAUUCUCACC